AUCCAGCUCACGAGUUCAAAAUAGGACGAAACGAGCAUUCUGGAU
This 45-nucleotide non-coding RNA is filed under the name Schistosoma margrebowiei. The record is from RNAcentral. Lineage: Eukaryota; Metazoa; Platyhelminthes; Trematoda; Strigeidida; Schistosomatidae.